This 247-nucleotide unclassified non-coding RNA is filed under the name Hevea brasiliensis (rubber tree). Lineage: Eukaryota; Viridiplantae; Streptophyta; Magnoliopsida; Malpighiales; Euphorbiaceae. The record is from RNAcentral.
GGGAGAUUCAAGAGCGAGUGUUUGAGUACUUUAAUUCGAGGCCUGAAUUGCAGACGCCGGUAGAGAUCUCCAUGAACGAUCAUCGGGAGCUUUGUAUGAAGCAAUUGAUCGGUUUGGUGAGGGAGGCCGGAAUUAGGCCGUUUAGGUUUGUGAAUGAAGAUCCUGCUAAAUAUUUCGCCAUUAUGGAGGCUGUUGGAAGCGUCGAUGUCUCUCUCGCCAUUAAGAUGGGCGUCCAGUUCAGUCUUUG